GGUAGACGCUACGGACUUACCGUAAAAGGUCGUGUGGGUUC
RNAcentral lists this transfer RNA (41 nucleotides) under Nostoc sp. JR10232B. RNAcentral's name for it is "partial tRNA-Leu". Lineage: Bacteria; Bacillati; Cyanobacteriota; Cyanophyceae; Nostocales; Nostocaceae. The record is from RNAcentral.